GGCGCAUUCGUCUAGCGGCCUAGGACGCGUCCCUCUCAAGGACGAGAUCACGGGUUCGAAUCCCGUAUGCGCUACCA
Molecule: transfer RNA, 77 nt
Filed under: Chloroflexi bacterium RBG_13_51_52
Lineage: Bacteria; Bacillati; Chloroflexota
Also listed under: 2 other names
Description: tRNA-Glu
Rfam family: tRNA
About the family: Transfer RNA (tRNA) molecules are approximately 80 nucleotides in length. Their secondary structure includes four short double-helical elements and three loops (D, anti-codon, and T loops).
Source: RNAcentral